This 1988-nucleotide ribosomal RNA is filed under the name Cutibacterium avidum. Its description in RNAcentral is "partial 23S ribosomal RNA". It matches the Rfam family "Bacterial large subunit ribosomal RNA", at positions 1 to 2013 of the family's 2925-position model. Lineage: Bacteria; Bacillati; Actinomycetota; Actinomycetes; Propionibacteriales; Propionibacteriaceae. The record is from RNAcentral.
GGUCAAGUUAUUAAGGGUGCAGGGCGAAUGCCUUGGCACUAGGAGCCGAUGAAGGACGUGAUAAGCUGCGAUAAGCUUCGGGGAGUUGCACGUAAACUUUGAUCCGAAGAUUUCCGAAUGAGGAAACUCACUUAGAGUAAUGUCUAAGUAUCGUAUGAUGAAUACAUAGUCAUGCGAGGGGAACCCGGAGAACUGAAACAUCUAAGUACCCGGAGGAAGAGAAAGAAAUUCGAUUCCGUAAGUAGCGGCGAGCGAACGCGGAACAGGCCAAACCAGUGAAGUUUUCUUCGCUGGGGUUGCGGACAUAUCAUAACGAAGAGGUAUCGUAGAAGAAGAGAGUUGGAAAGCUCCGCCAUAGAUGGUAACAGCCCAGUAUUUUAAACGAGAAGACUUUAGAUAUGAUCCAGAGUACCACGGGACACGUGAAACCCUGUGGGAAGCAGGAGGGACCAUCCUCCAAGCCUAAAUACUACCUAGUGACCGAUAGCGUAUAGUACCGUGAGGGAAAGGUGAAAAGAACCCCGGGAGGGGAGUGAAAGAGAACCUGAAACCCUGCACUUACAAGCUGUAGGAGCACAUUAUUUGUGUGACUGCGUACUUUUUGUAGAACGGGCCAACGAGUUACGUUGUGUAGCAAGGUUAAGCACUUAAGGUGUGGAGCCGUAGCGAAAGCGAGUCUUAAAUGGGCGUCCAGUUACCCGACGUAGACCCGAAACCAGGCGACCUAUCCAUGAGCAGGUUGAAGCGAAAGUAAAAUUUCGUGGAGGACCGAACCCACGUACGUUGAAAAGUGCGGGGAUGACUUGUGGAUAGCGGUGAAAUUCCAAUCGAGCCUGGAGAUAGCUGGUUCUCCCCGAAAUAGCUUUAGGGCUAGCCUCAAGCUUAGAGAAACGGAGGUAGAGCACUGAAUGUCCUAGGGGGUAUUGCACUUACCGAAGACUAUCAAACUCCGAAUGCCGUAUUCUUUUGCUUGGGAGUCAGACUAUGGGUGAUAAGAUUCAUAGUCAAGAGGGCAACAGCCCAGAUCGUCAGCUAAGGUCCCUAAAUGUAAGUUAAGUGGUAAAGGAUGUGGAAUUGCACAGACAACCAGGAUGUUGGCUUAGAAGCAGCCACUCAUUUAAAGAGUGCGUAAUAGCUCACUGGUCGAGUGAUUCUGCGCCGAAAAUUUCCGGGGCUAAAACUUACUACCGAAGCUACGGCAUCAUUAUGAUGGGUAGGGGAGCUUUCUAUGCGGCUUGAAGCAUGACCGUAAGGACAUGUGGACUGCAUAGAAGUGAGAAUGUUGGCAUGAGUAGCGAGAUGUGGGUGAGAAUCCCACAGGCCGUAAACCCAAGGUUUCCAGGGGAAGGUUCGUCCGCCCUGGGUUAGUCAGGACCUAAGCCGAGGCCGAAAGGCGUAGGUGAUGGACAACAGGUUGAUAUUCCUGUACCACCAAUAACCGUUUGAGAAAUGGGAUGACACAGUAGGAUAAGCUAACCGCACUGUUGGUUAUGUGCGGGCAAGUAUUGAGGCAGUUCCGAUAGGCAAAUCCGUCGGAAUAAUGCUGGGGUACGAUGCGGAGCGAAAUUAAGUAGCGAAGUAGCUGAUUUCACACUGUCGAGAAAAGUCUCUAUCGAGGUUAAAGGUGCCUGUACCGCAAACCGACACAGGUGGGUGAGGAGAGUAUCCUAAGGCCAGCGAGAGAACUGUUGUUAAGGAACUCGGCAAAAUGACCCCGUAACUUAGGGAGAAGGGGUGCCUUCGAAAGAAGGCCGCAGAGAAUAGGCCCAAGCGACUGUUUACCAAAAACAUAGGUUUCUGCUAAGUCGCAAGACGAUGUAUAGGAGCUGACGCCUGCCCGGUGCUGGAAGGUUAAGGGGAUCUGUUAGAGCAAUCGAAGCAGUGAACUUAAGCCCCAGUAAACGGCGGCCGUAACUAUAACGGUCCUAAGGUAGCGAAAUUCCUUGUCGGGUAAGUUCCGACCCGCACGAAAGGCGUAACGAUUUGGG